This 467-nucleotide ribosomal RNA is filed under the name uncultured bacterium. RNAcentral's name for it is "partial 16S ribosomal RNA". It matches the Rfam family "Bacterial small subunit ribosomal RNA", at positions 28 to 507 of the family's 1533-position model. The record is from RNAcentral.
GAUGAACGCUGACAGAAUGCUUAACACAUGCAAGUCAACUUGAAUUUGGGUUUUUAACUUAGGUUUGGGUGGCGGACGGGUGAGUAACGCGUAAAGAACUUGCCUCACAGCUAGGGACAACAUUUGGAAACGAAUGCUAAUACCUAAUAUUAUGAUAAUAGGGCAUCCUAUAAUUAUGAAAGCUAUAAGCGCUGUGAGAGAGCUUUGCGUCCCAUUAGCUAGUUGGAGAGGUAACGGCUCACCAAGGCGAUGAUGGGUAGCCGGCCUGAGAGGGUGGUCGGCCACAAGGGGACUGAGACACGGCCCUUACUCCUACGGGAGGCAGCAGUGGGGAAUAUUGGACAAUGGACCGAGAGUCUGAUCCAGCAAUUCUGUGUGCACGAUGAAGUUUUUCGGAAUGUAAAGUGCUUUCAGUUGGGAAGAAACAAAUGACGGUACCAACAGAAGAAGUGACGGCUAAAUACGUG